RNAcentral lists this ribosomal RNA (396 nucleotides) under uncultured bacterium. RNAcentral describes it as "partial 16S ribosomal RNA". It matches the Rfam family "Bacterial small subunit ribosomal RNA", at positions 523 to 918 of the family's 1533-position model. The record is from RNAcentral.
AUACGUAGGGAGCGAGCGUUGUCCGGAAUUACUGGGUGUAAAGGGAGCGUAGGCGGGACGGCAAGUCAGAUGUGAAAUACAUGGGCUCAACCCAUGGGCUGCAUUUGAAACUGCUGUUCUUGAGUGAAGUAGAGGUAAGCGGAAUUCCUGGUGUAGCGGUGAAAUGCGUAGAUAUCAGGAGGAACACCGGUGGCGCAGGCGGCUUACUGGGCUUUUACUGACGCUGAGGCUCGAAAGCGUGGGGAGCAAACAGGAUUAGAUACCCUGGUAGUCCACGCUGUAAACGAUGAUUACUAGGUGUGGGGGGACUGACCCCUUCCGUGCCGCAGUUAACACAAUAAGUAAUCCACCUGGGGAGUACGGCCGCAAGGUUGAAACUCAAAUGAAUUGACGGGG